UACGUAGGGUCCGAGCGUUGUCCGGAGUGACUGGGCGUAAAGCGCGCGCAGGCGGCCCGCGAGGUGUCCCUGUGAAAGCCUCGUGCUCAACGCGGGAGGGUCAGGGCAAACCGGCGGGCUUGAGGCCGGUAGAGGUGGGUGGAACUCCUGGUGGAGUGGUGAAAUGCGUAGAGAUCAGGAAGAACACCCGUGGCGAAGGCGGCCCACUGGGCCGGACCUGACGCUGAGGCGCGAAGGCGUGGGGAGCGAACGGG
Molecule: ribosomal RNA, 254 nt
Filed under: uncultured bacterium
Lineage: Bacteria
Description: partial 16S ribosomal RNA
Rfam family: Bacterial small subunit ribosomal RNA
Source: RNAcentral